AUACGGAGGGUGCGAGCGUUAAUCGGAAUUACUGGGCGUAAAGCGUGCGUAGGCGGUUGAUUUAGUCAGAUGUGAAAGCCCCGGGCUCAACCUGGGAACUGCAUUUGAAACUGGUCAACUGGAGUAUGGUAGAGGGGGGUAGAAUUUCUGGUGUAGCGGUGAAAUGCGUAGAUAUCAGAAGGAAUACCGAUGGCGAAGGCAGCCCCCUGGACCAAUACUGACGCUCAGGUACGAAAGCGUGGGGAGCAAACAGGAUUAGAAACCCCAGUAGUCC
Molecule: ribosomal RNA, 274 nt
Filed under: uncultured bacterium
Lineage: Bacteria
Description: partial 16S ribosomal RNA
Rfam family: Bacterial small subunit ribosomal RNA
Source: RNAcentral